CAGCCGCCGCGGUAAUGCGAAGGGGGCUAGCGUUGCUCGGAAUGACUGGCGUAAAGGGCGCGUAGGCGGAUUGUUUAGUUAGGCGUGAAAUUCCUGGGCUUAACCUGGGGACUGCGCUUAAUACAGGCAGUCUAGAGUGAGGAAGAGGGUUGUGGAAUUCCCAGUGUAGAGGUGAAAUUCGUAGAUAUUGGGAAGAACACCGGUGGCGAAGGCGGCAACCUGGUCCUUGACUGACGCUGAGGCGCGAAAGCGUGGGGAGCAAACAGGAUUAGAUACCCGCGUAGUCCCUGUCUCUUAUACA
RNAcentral lists this ribosomal RNA (301 nucleotides) under uncultured bacterium. RNAcentral's name for it is "partial 16S ribosomal RNA". It matches the Rfam family "Bacterial small subunit ribosomal RNA", at positions 509 to 808 of the family's 1533-position model. The record is from RNAcentral.